UCUCCUGUAACUCAAACGGGCAUAGAGUCAAUGCGGCGAUGCCGUAGCGCGGGUUCGAGUCCCGCCGGGAGAG
RNAcentral lists this transfer RNA (73 nucleotides) under Rhodococcus (subgen. Prescottella) equi. Its description in RNAcentral is "Rhodococcus hoagii tRNA-OTHER". It matches the Rfam family "tRNA". Rfam says of the family: Transfer RNA (tRNA) molecules are approximately 80 nucleotides in length. The record is from RNAcentral. Lineage: Bacteria; Bacillati; Actinomycetota; Actinomycetes; Mycobacteriales; Nocardiaceae.